CAAUUGUGAUCCUUGGCUAAUGGAACCGAAACAGCCAUAUGGCACUUAAGAUUGCAGUAAUGAGCUGAGAGCCUGAGAACAGCUGCCUGAAUGAGUACUGUGUGAGGGAAGCGGGGAGCCGGGAGUUAACAGAAGUGAGCUAAGUCCUCAUCUCAAAGAAGCGGCCCGGUGGAUGAUCGUGAAUUGCUAAGUCAUAACCCGAAGAGGGAUUGACCGCGUCUUGGUCCCAUGGAUUUUUAUUGC
This 243-nucleotide long non-coding RNA is filed under the name Bos taurus (domestic cattle). RNAcentral's name for it is "long non-coding RNA NONBTAT015526". Lineage: Eukaryota; Metazoa; Chordata; Mammalia; Artiodactyla; Bovidae. The record is from RNAcentral.